ACAGGCGUGGGCCGGUAGGAAGGGUGUUCGACUCCCAGCCGAAAGGUUCUGGGUUCGACCCCCGAUGUCUGCA
Molecule: non-coding RNA, 73 nt
Organism: Merluccius polli (Benguela hake)
Lineage: Eukaryota; Metazoa; Chordata; Actinopteri; Gadiformes; Merlucciidae
Source: the annotation of a GenBank genome assembly